AGAGUUUGAUCCUGGCUCAGAAUCAACGCUGGCGGCGUGCCUCAGACAUGCAAGUCGAACGAUUAAAGCUCUCUUCGGAGAGUGUAUAGAGUGGCGCACGGGUGAGUAACACGUAAGUAAUCUACCUUCGAGUGGGGAAUAACGUCCGGAAACGGACGCUAAUACCGCAUAAUGCAGCGGCAUCGCAAGAUGACAGUUGUUAAAGAUUUAUCGCUUGAAGAGGAGCUUGCGGCAGAUUAGCUAGUUGGUAAGGUAAUGGCUUACCAAGGCUACGAUCUGUAACCGGUCUAAGAGGACGGUCGGUCACACUGACACUGAAUAACGGGUCAGACUCCUACGGGAGGCAGCAGUCGGGAAUUUUGGGCAAUGGGCGAAAGCCUGACCCAGCAACGCCGCGUGAAGGAUGAAGUAUUUCGGUAUGUAAACUUCGAAAGAAUGGGAAGAAUAAAUGACGGUACCAUAUAAG
Molecule: ribosomal RNA, 466 nt
Filed under: uncultured Acidobacteriaceae bacterium
Lineage: Bacteria; Pseudomonadati; Acidobacteriota; Terriglobia; Terriglobales; Acidobacteriaceae
Description: bacterial SSU rRNA
Rfam family: Bacterial small subunit ribosomal RNA
Source: RNAcentral